RNAcentral lists this non-coding RNA (30 nucleotides) under Mus musculus (house mouse). The record is from RNAcentral. Lineage: Eukaryota; Metazoa; Chordata; Mammalia; Rodentia; Muridae.
ACUUAUUCUUCUGGUGGCAUGCUGGUGUCU